This is a long non-coding RNA of Acipenser ruthenus (sterlet), 1626 nucleotides long. RefSeq lists it as uncharacterized. Lineage: Eukaryota; Metazoa; Chordata; Actinopteri; Acipenseriformes; Acipenseridae. The transcript is spliced from 4 exons. The record is from RefSeq and is a predicted model, not a curated record.
CUCUCACGUACAAUGUGCAGUGGCCUGUGCCCGGUUGCAUAAAACACCGAGGAGAGCAUCCACUCUAUUGAGAGAAAACUACACGAAACUCCAAGACAGUGCUCUUGAAGGCAUUGCCUUCAACUGAGGCCAUCUGAAAAGUCUGGAGUCGCCGUGAGGAUGCCGGGACGCCGGGAGCCCAGAAGAAGGUCCUGAAAUUGGGGAGCGGGGAGGCUGUGAGGAUCGGCUGAUGGGACCAAUUGAUGGAAUUUCUGAAACUGAAACCAAGAGAGAGCGUCAGCUACAGGAUUGAGAAGACCAGACACAUGAGCUGCUUUAAAGAGAAAGUUACUGUUAAUAGAUAACCAAGUGAGGUGGCGGAGCAAGCUAUUCCUGAGUGCUGUUAUGGAUCGUCCGUUAUUGAUAAUGGAUACAGUACAUUGGUUGUCACAGUGGAAGAUGAUGGAAUUUCUUGACCAUCAGUGGCCCAAGAUGGAAGCAGCUGAGACUAUAGGAUAGAGCUCAUGUAGAGCAGAGGAACGUUGUUGAGGAGGGAGAUCCCGGAUUGGAGCUGGCCAGGCUGCUGAAAACCAGGAAAAGUUGAACACGCCCCCAAAUCCUAAUGAUGAUGCGUCUGUGUACAGAUGGAGCGCAACUGAUGAGAUCAUUGUUAUUUUAAGAUGAUUUAGACGAUUUGAAAUGCCUCUUAUUUGGAAUGCUCUUUGAUCCGAUUCGAGAGCUUCGCCUUGCAGGAGUUGUUAUUAAAGGGGAGAUGCGAGAGCUGAAACCUAACGCUGGUAAGCGAGCUCCUGCGCUGCAUUGACAGAAGUGGCAGGUGAAACACAGCGAUGCAAUCCAGUUGACGGGAAUCUGGAGGUUCCAGGGAGCUUUGAGCUGUGAGAGCCUAACCCUAUCGCUGGUAAGCGAGCUCCUGCAUUGACAGAAGUGGAAGGUGAAGCAGAGCGAUGCGAUCCGGUUGACGGGAGUCUGGAGGUUCCAGGGAGCUUUGAGCUGUGAGAGCCUAACCCUAUCGCUGGCACCUACAUGAAGACCUGCCAAGUUUCCCCUGAACUAAAUGGACCUGCGAGAAACCUUGCACACCUCAGCCUGUACAGCGUGGUGUGGCAGCUGUCAGCCUGCAGCACUGGCGAAGUUAAACAGGCCUCAAGCACACAGCGCCAGUAAUGCAGGGCGACCUCGACGCUCGCCAUCUUCCAGAGCAGAGAGACACUCAGCUGCUGUGGGGAAGUGGUUCUAACAGCAUGCCACACUGUUCACAUCACUUUGUAUUAGCUGGCACCGUCCAUCACACAAGGGAGCACGUCUCCCUUGUCUUUUCUGGUUGGCCUUUCAAAGGGAGAAUGCUGCCGUUGUUUUCAUGUCCCGUUCUGAGACGUUACAACACCCAACAUGCUCACUGGUGGCAGGAUGCUUUUAUUAACCUUUCAUUUCCAGCUGCUGCGCUGCGUUUAAACAUGACAGAACCAGUUAGGAUUUCUGAGGUUUCUCAGGAAUCAGGUGUACAACCCAGGCAGGGUUUGUCUUGGAAAUGUGUGGCGAAGAAAUUUCUGUUUGUAAUUCAUCUUUUUAUUUGAUUCCUUUUCUCAAGGAAGUGUGUGUUUAAGAAAUAAACUGGAUCUAAUUGUA